RNAcentral lists this ribosomal RNA (918 nucleotides) under uncultured bacterium. RNAcentral describes it as "bacterial SSU rRNA". It matches the Rfam family "Bacterial small subunit ribosomal RNA", at positions 8 to 961 of the family's 1533-position model. The record is from RNAcentral.
AGAGUUUGAUCCUGGCUCAGAAUCAACGCUGGCGGCGCGCUUAACACAUGCAAGUCGCACGAGAAAGUGGGAAACCAUGAGUACAGUGGCGUACGGGUGAGUAACACGUGGGUAAUCUACCUCUGAGUGGGGAAUAACCCUGGGAAACCGGGGCUAAUACCGCAUAAUCUCGAGAGAGGAGAGCAGCAAUGCGCUGAGAGAGGAGCCCGCGGCCGAUUAGCUAGUUGGUAGGGUAAGAGCCUACCAAGGCAGAGAUCGGUAGCCGGCCUGAGAGGGCACACGGCCACACUGGCACUGAAACACGGGCCAGACUCCUACGGGAGGCAGCAGUGGGGAAUCUUGCACAAUGGGGGAAACCCUGAUGCAGCGACGCCGCGUGAGCGAUGAAGCCCUUCGGGGUGUAAAGCUCUUUCGUCAGGGAAGAUGAUGACGGUACCUGGAGAAGCAGCUGCGGCUAACUACGUGCCAGCAGCCGCGGUAAUACGUAGGCAGCGAGCGUUGUUCGGAGUUACUGGGCGUAAAGGGUGUGUAGGCGGUUCUUUAAGUUUGGUGUGAAAUCUCCCGGCUCAACCGGGAGGGUGCGCCGAAUACUGAGGGACUUGGAGUGCGGGAGAGGAAAGUGGAAUUCCUGGUGUAGCGGUGAAAUGCGUAGAUAUCAGGAGGAACACCGGUGGUGUAGACGGCUUUCUGGACCGUAACUGACGCUGAGACACGAAAGCGUGGGUAGCAAACAGGAUUAGAUACCCUGGUAGUCCACGCCCUAAACGAUGCAUAUUUGGUGUGGGUCAUUCAGUUGAUCCGUGCCGGAGCUAACGCGUUAAAUAUGCCGCCUGGGGAGUACAGUCGCAAGGCUGAAACUCAAAGGAAUUGACGGGGCCCGCACAAGCGGUGGAGCAUGUGGUUCAAUUCGACGCAACG